CCAUACACCUGGUGAUGCGCGCUCAGCCCCGCAUCCCGGCCGGGGGGGGGACAAAGCCGGGAGCGGGGAUCUGUCAGGCCGCGUCCCGGCGCCAGCCCCGGGCCGGGAGCUCAGGCGAGCGCGAUGCCAGGUUAACAAUUUGCCUCCCUCCUGGACGCCGCGGCAGCCCUCCAUUUUGUCAGCCGCCUCAAUUUAAACGUUUUCCAAGGCGAAGGCAGAACUUCAGCAUUUCUUCGGGAGCCCUCCGGGGCUUUAAAGCAUCCCCGACCAUUUUGCGCAGCCCGCCCGGAGCCAGCGCUCGGGGCUAAGUUUAGCAGGGCAGCCGCGCACGCCGCGCCUCACGGGCAGCGCCGAGCCCCCCGCGGGCAGCCCGCGGGCUCCUUCCCAUCGCUUCUCCCGGCGGCGCCUCCUCCCGCCCCACGCUCCGGCGGCGCCCGGCUUCCUCCCCGCACGGGGACAGGCAGGUGGAUGUCGGGAGGAGGGCAAGGAAGGGACGGGAGGCAGGAGCCGCCGCGGGCAGCAGGGUGCCGGCAGCAGGUAGGGAGGGCAGCGCGGGGCGGCCGCCGGUGCCGUGCGGUGCCUAUGCCGUUCCCCCUCCCUCCGGCCCCCGUUCUUACCACCUGCGGAGGCGGCCGGAGCCCGCCCGGGCCGGGGCAGCGACCUGUCCACUGCGGGCGCUCUCCUCCGGAGCCUUAGAAUCCCAGAAUGACAGAAGCGACUACAAACACCCGGGAAGAGCAGGCACAAGGAGAGGAACGAGCGAGAGAAAAGAGUUUUGCUGUGUGCCGCUGUGCGGUGCGAUGCACAACCACCUGGGUGUGAAGGCGUCACAUCCUCUGUGGUAGUGCUAUGGGAUCAUACAGCCACAGAGUGUUUCAGGGAAGGGAAAGGAACUUAAAAGUCAUCCAGUUCCAACCCCUGUCGCUGACGUGGGCAGAGCACCCUGUGGGUCAUGUGGAAUACUGGGGGCCUUUGCCCUUUAAAUAACCUUCUUAAAUAAAUUUUAAAAUCUGAAAUCACACUGUAAAAUCUGUGCAGAUCCACAGAAGUAGAUGUUAUUUUUACCUGACAUGUAUCUGUUGUGGCUAGUACCAAUCCAAACUGGCAAGGUACAUCCUUCAGGGGCUGUGUGGGUCCUGUCUGUCAUGCAUCCCUCUUCCAGACAUGAUAGAAUAUUCUGCAGUCCUCUUUCUCCCUUAGAGGCAUCAUUACUAUGGGGAACCUGCUGCCACUGCUGGGCAUGCAGGACAGCUUGCACACUAAAAUUCAAACUCCAGUCCUUCACCUCUGAUAGCUUUGAAUCCCUGUGCCAGAAACCCUUGGAAAACAUGAGAAAGAGGAUUAUUUGCAUGGUCCUUAUGUUCUUGGUGGCUGUCUCCUCCAAAGUGCCAUCAGAAAAGCACAUGGCUGUCACUCACAGUAAAAUGGUUUGGGUGUUUGCUGUUUCAGGAAAAAGGUAGCUCAGUAAAUUGUUUGGGCAGAGAGGGGGCUCUAUCCUGCCAAUAUUGACCAAGAACCACCUUGAUGAAGGCCCUCGUGCGAAGGAGUUGUGAGCUGUGUCAUGAGAACGCCUUGUUGGCACUUGUACUGAACAGUCAUGUCCUGUGUGAGGGAGUGCAGAGCAGGCAGGGAAGAGAGAAGCCCAAGCUCCACGACAGAGACAAAAGAUCAAAAGCAGUGAAGAAAUUAUGAUAAAGCAGUUAACAUUGGGAUGUUCACUGUUUUGUACGUGUCUCUUUCCAGUAGCUGAAAAGCAGUUUUGCCCUUCUGUCUCAAUAAAGCAGUGGCCCCAAAGAUGCCUUUCUCAAACCCCCAAAGUGCUCACAGCAUUAAAAAUCUGCACAAUUAACUGCUGGUUAACGGAGCUAGAAGUGACCCAUUUUGAUGAAGGGGAUCAGAGAGUGUGCCAGAGAAACUGGAGGUGACGGCCAGUGCCCCAGCUCUUUCAUUCCAGAAAAUUGCAGGAACAAACAGUUCCAGCAUGGUUAUGCUCACAAAGAGAAGUGGGGAGCAGUGGAGAGAGGUGCGUGGUGAGGAGGAAAGACAUUUCAAUUCUCUCUUCCCUUUUCUCAUCUCAGCUUAGUAACACCUUACGUAACAGGUUUGGGUUUUGUUUAAAUUGUGAGACUGAAAAUUUCCUGACUGUAAAACUGUAACAAUAAGAAGUAUUUGUGAUCUUUUGAAAAUAUAUUCUUUUUAGCUAAAAAAAGAUAUAUGCAGAAAAGUCUGUACUAGAACAGCAAAUUAAAGCUUUUUCAGUAUAAAGUCAGGAUAUUUCUUUUCCUAGUGUAAUAAAAGAUGUGACAAAAACAGUGGUAUAACAAUUAAUUCCUGCACAUUGAAAUUAUUACUAAGAAUA
RNA transcript from Onychostruthus taczanowskii (white-rumped snowfinch), 2359 nucleotides. It is a transcript of the gene named rabphilin-3A-like, with no coding region annotated. The record is from RefSeq and is a predicted model, not a curated record. The transcript is spliced from 3 exons. NCBI's taxonomy places the organism in Eukaryota, Metazoa, Chordata, Aves, Passeriformes, Passeridae.